Molecule: non-coding RNA, 22 nt
Filed under: Arabidopsis thaliana (thale cress)
Lineage: Eukaryota; Viridiplantae; Streptophyta; Magnoliopsida; Brassicales; Brassicaceae
Source: RNAcentral
GGGUUUAGUUAGUGUUUUCACA